This 253-nucleotide ribosomal RNA is filed under the name uncultured bacterium. RNAcentral's name for it is "partial 16S ribosomal RNA". It matches the Rfam family "Bacterial small subunit ribosomal RNA", at positions 524 to 776 of the family's 1533-position model. The record is from RNAcentral.
UACGUAGGGUGCAAGCGUUAAUCGGAAUUACUGGGCGUAAAGCGUGCGCAGGCGGUUUUGUAAGUCUGACGUGAAAGCCCCGGGCUUAACCUGGGAAUUGCGUUGGAGACUGCAAGGCUUGAAUCUGGCAGAGGGGGGUAGAAUUCCACGUGUAGCAGUGAAAUGCGUAGAUAUUGGGAGGAACACCAGUGGCGAAGGCGGCUCACUGGGUCAAGAUUGACGCUCAUGCACGAAAGCGUGGGGAGCAAACAGG